Gorilla gorilla gorilla (western lowland gorilla) is the source of this 444-nucleotide long non-coding RNA. RefSeq lists it as uncharacterized. NCBI's taxonomy places the organism in Eukaryota, Metazoa, Chordata, Mammalia, Primates, Hominidae. The record is from RefSeq and is a predicted model, not a curated record. The transcript has 3 exons.
AGGGAUGUACCCAUCGCUCAAGAAGCCUGUUGAAUUGGCUCACAAUCCUCCGGAAGGCUGCGAUUGUGCAUGCAAACCUGUGUGACAUUCCGUAGGCUGAGAGUUGGAGAGGGCAGGGGCUAGGGCAUGAAAGACAAGGGUGAGCGUCUUUCACAUCAAUCUUGGAGGAAGGUUGAGGACUUGCCUGUCUGCUAAAAGCAAUGGAUGGCGCCUCUCCUUCCAUCGUCUACAGAAGGAGGAAGAGACAGAUGUUUAAAGUGGAAAUAAGAGAAUUGGAGUUCUGAAAAAUGUGAGAAUCAAAUCUACAGCCCCAUUCAUUCAGUGACUUCCUAUCUUCACCCUGUGAAGUUCACCAGAGGCACCGAGGGAACUUGCCCAGAUAGUUGUAGUGGCAUUGUCCCUGGUGUGUGAGGAAUUUUGGAGAAUAGAAGAGGUGUAAAACUA